GAUGAACGCUAGCUACAGGCUUAACACAUGCAAGUCGAGGGGUAACGAGAGGAAAGCUUGCUUUCCUUGUCGACGACCGGCGCACGGGUGAGUAACGCGUAUCCAACCUGCCCCCAACUAGGGAAUAACCUUGCGAAAGUAAGACUAAUACCCUAUAAUUUCCUCAGAUGUCAUCUGACGAGGAAUAAAGAUUUAUCGGUUGUGGAUGGGGAUGCGUCUGAUUAGCUUGUUGGCGGGGUAACGGCCCACCAAGGCAACGAUCAGUAGGGGUUCUGAGAGGAAGGUCCCCCACAUUGGAACCGAGACACGGUCCAAACUCCUACGGGAGGCAGCAGUGAGGAAUAUUGGUCAAUGGGCGGAAGCCUGAACCAGCCAAGUAGCGUGCAGGAUGACGGCCCUAUGGGUUGUAAACUGCUUUUAUACAGGAAUAAAGUUAGCCACGUGUGGUUAUUUGUAGGUACUGUAUGAAUAAGGACCGGCUGAUUCCGUGCCAGCCGCCGCGGUAA
RNAcentral lists this ribosomal RNA (506 nucleotides) under uncultured bacterium. RNAcentral's name for it is "partial 16S ribosomal RNA". It matches the Rfam family "Bacterial small subunit ribosomal RNA", at positions 28 to 523 of the family's 1533-position model. The record is from RNAcentral.